UAUUUAGAAGGGAACGAUGAAAUAAAUCUUAAUUUGGGCACUUUAGAUUUAUGGAGUUAGUAGUGCAACCGACCUCAGUUG
Molecule: non-coding RNA, 81 nt
Filed under: Clostridium cavendishii
Lineage: Bacteria; Bacillati; Bacillota; Clostridia; Eubacteriales; Clostridiaceae
Description: c-di-GMP-II sequence
Rfam family: Cyclic di-GMP-II riboswitch aptamer
Source: RNAcentral